GACGAACGCUGGCGGCGUGCUUAACACAUGCAAGUCGAACGGAAAGGCCCUGCUUUUGUGGGGUGCUCGAGUGGCGAACGGGUGAGUAACACGUGAGUAACCUGCCCUUGACUUUGGGAUAACUUCAGGAAACUGGGGCUAAUACCGGAUAGGAGCUCCUGCUGCAUGGUGGGGGUUGGAAAGUUUCGGCGGUUGGGGAUGGACUCGCGGCUUAUCAGCUUGUUGGUGGGGUAGUGGCUUACCAAGGCUUUGACGGGUAGCCGGCCUGGGAGGGUGGCCGGCCACGUUGGGACUGAGCUACGGCCCAGACUCCUACGGUAGGCAGCGGUGGGGAAUAUUGCACAGUGGGCGGAAGCCUGAUGCAGCAACGCCGCGUGCGGGAUGACGUCCUUCGGGUUGUAAACCGCUUUCGCCUGUGCCGAAGCGUGAGUGACGGUAAUGGGUAAAGAAGCACCGGCUAACUACGUG
Molecule: ribosomal RNA, 468 nt
Filed under: uncultured bacterium
Lineage: Bacteria
Description: partial 16S ribosomal RNA
Rfam family: Bacterial small subunit ribosomal RNA
Source: RNAcentral